RNAcentral lists this ribosomal RNA (2918 nucleotides) under Acinetobacter baumannii. RNAcentral describes it as "23S ribosomal RNA". It matches the Rfam family "Bacterial large subunit ribosomal RNA". Lineage: Bacteria; Pseudomonadati; Pseudomonadota; Gammaproteobacteria; Moraxellales; Moraxellaceae. The record is from RNAcentral.
GUUGUAUAGUCAAGUAAUUAAGUGCAUGUGGUGGAUGCCUUGGCAGUCAGAGGCGAUGAAAGACGUGAUAGCCUGCGAAAAGCUCCGGGGAGGCGGCAAAUAUCCUUUGAUCCGGAGAUGUCUGAAUGGGGGAACCCACCUACUUUAAGGUAGGUAUUGCAACAUGAAUACAUAGUGUUGCAAGGCGAACGAGGGGAAGUGAAACAUCUCAGUACCCUUAGGAAAAGAAAUCAAUUGAGAUUCCCUCAGUAGCGGCGAGCGAACGGGGAUCAGCCCAUUAAGUUAUGUGUGUUUUAGUGGAACGCUCUGGGAAGUGCGAACGUAGAGGGUGAUAUUCCCGUACACGAAAGGGCACACAUAAUGAUGACGAGUAGGGCGAGGCACGUGAAACCUUGUCUGAAUAUGGGGGGACCAUCCUCCAAGGCUAAAUACUCCUGACUGACCGAUAGUGAACCAGUACCGUGAGGGAAAGGCGAAAAGAACCCCUGUGAGGGGAGUGAAAUAGAUCCUGAAACCGCAUGCAUACAAGCAGUGGGAGCACCUUCGUGGUGUGACUGCGUACCUUUUGUAUAAUGGGUCAGCGACUUAUAUUCAGUAGCAAGGUUAACCGUAUAGGGGAGCCGUAGAGAAAUCGAGUCUUAAUAGGGCGUUUAGUUGCUGGGUAUAGACCCGAAACCAGGCGAUCUAUCCAUGAGCAGGUUGAAGGUUGGGUAACACUAACUGGAGGACCGAACCCACUGUCGUUGAAAAGCCAGGGGAUGACUUGUGGAUAGGGGUGAAAGGCUAAUCAAGCCUGGUGAUAGCUGGUUCUCCCCGAAAGCUAUUUAGGUAGCGCCUCGGACGAAUACCAUAGGGGGUAGAGCACUGUUUCGGCUAGGGGGUCAUCCCGACUUACCAAACCGAUGCAAACUCCGAAUACCUAUGAGUACUAUCCGGGAGACAGACUGCGGGUGCUAACGUCCGUAGUCAAGAGGAAAACAAUCCAGACCGCCAGCUAAGGCCUCAAAAUCAUAGUUAAGUGGGAAACGAUGUGGGAAGGCAUAGACAGCUAGGAGGUUGGCUUAGAAGCAGCCACCCUUUAAAGAAAGCGUAAUAGCUCACUAGUCGAGUCGGCCUGCGCGGAAGAUGUAACGGGGCUAAAACUAUGUGCCGAAGCUGCGGAUGUAUACUUUGUAUACGUGGUAGGGGAGCGUUCUGUAAGCCGAUGAAGGUGUGUUGAGAAGCAUGCUGGAGGUAUCAGAAGUGCGAAUGCUGACGUGAGUAACGACAAAACGGGUGAAAAACCCGUUCGCCGAAAGACCAAGGGUUCCAGUCCAACGUUAAUCGGGGCUGGGUGAGUCGACCCCUAAGGCGAGGCCGAAAGGCGUAGUCGAUGGGAAAAUGGUUAAUAUUCCAUUACUUCUGUGUAAUGCGAUGAGAGGACGGAGAAGGCUAAAUCAGCCUGGCGUUGGUUGUCCAGGUGAAAGGAUGUAGGCAUGUAUCUUAGGCAAAUCCGGGGUACUCUAUGCUGAGAUCUGAUAGCAAGCUGUACUUGUACAGCGAAGUGGUUGAUGCCAUGCUUCCAGGAAAAGUCUCUAAGCUUCAGUUACACAGGAAUCGUACCCGAAACCGACACAGGUGGUCAGGUCGAGUAGACCAAGGCGCUUGAGAGAACUCUGCUGAAGGAACUAGGCAAAAUGGUACCGUAACUUCGGGAGAAGGUACGCUGUUGUUGGUGAUGGAACUCGCUUCCUGAGCUGACGACAGCCGCAGAAACCAGGCCGCUGCAACUGUUUAUUAAAAACAUAGCACUCUGCAAACACGAAAGUGGACGUAUAGGGUGUGAUGCCUGCCCGGUGCUGGAAGGUUAAUUGAUGGGGUUAGCGUAAGCGAAGCUCUUGAUCGAAGCCCCAGUAAACGGCGGCCGUAACUAUAACGGUCCUAAGGUAGCGAAAUUCCUUGUCGGGUAAGUUCCGACCUGCACGAAUGGCAUAAUGAUGGCGGCGCUGUCUCCAGCAGAGGCUCAGUGAAAUCGAAAUCGCUGUGAAGAUGCAGUGUACCCGCGGCUAGACGGAAAGACCCCGUGAACCUUUACUGCAGCUUGACACUGAACUUUGACCUUACUUGUGUAGGAUAGGUGGGAGGCUUUGAAGCUGGAACGCUAGUUCCAGUGGAGCCGUCCUUGAAAUACCACCCUGGUAAUGUUGAGGUUCUAACUCUGUCCCGUGAUCCGGGACGAGGACCGUGUCUGGUGGGUAGUUUGACUGGGGCGGUCUCCUCCUAAAGAGUAACGGAGGAGUACGAAGGUGCGCUCAGCGUGGUCGGAAAUCACGCGUAGAGUAUAAAGGCAAAAGCGCGCUUAACUGCGAGACCCACAAGUCGAGCAGGUACGAAAGUAGGUCUUAGUGAUCCGGUGGUUCUGUAUGGAAGGGCCAUCGCUCAACGGAUAAAAGGUACUCUGGGGAUAACAGGCUGAUACCGCCCAAGAGUUCAUAUCGACGGCGGUGUUUGGCACCUCGAUGUCGGCUCAUCUCAUCCUGGGGCUGAAGCAGGUCCCAAGGGUAUGGCUGUUCGCCAUUUAAAGAGGUACGCGAGCUGGGUUUAGAACGUCGUGAGACAGUUCGGUCCCUAUCUACCGUGGGCGCUGGAAAUUUGAGAGGAUCUGCUCCUAGUACGAGAGGACCAGAGUGGACGAACCUCUGGUGUACCGGUUGUGACGCCAGUCGCAUCGCCGGGUAGCUAUGUUCGGAAGGGAUAACCGCUGAAAGCAUCUAAGCGGGAAGCCUACCUCAAGAUAAGAUUUCCCUAGGACUUUAUGUCCUCUAAAGAGCCGUUCGAGACUAGGACGUUGAUAGGUUGGAUGUGGAAGCAUAGUGAUAUGUGAAGCUGACCAAUACUAAUUGCUCGUGAGGCUUGACUAUACAACACCCAAGCAGUUG